Molecule: non-coding RNA, 409 nt
Organism: Paramisgurnus dabryanus
Lineage: Eukaryota; Metazoa; Chordata; Actinopteri; Cypriniformes; Cobitidae
Source: RefSeq, a predicted model, not a curated record
UGGCGAUCAAAGCGUCGGAGGUUCGUUUUGUUCUCCUUGAAUGGACUGAGGGUGAGGAUAGAGGGGCCCAUAGUAUUUUGCCCCUCGACUGUGUCCGUAAUUUUUCAAUUCAAGAUUUUUUUGAAAGGACGGAUAAAACAGAAAAGCUGGUGGAAUGGCGAAAAGGCCGCCAACCGUGGCCGGUGCACCGAGCCAGAAUUAUUGACGUGGCAAAACUUGAAAAAACUCUCCAGAUAAAAUUGAUUGAGAUGGAGAAAGAGGACACACAAAGGCAAAUCAAACGUCCUCACAUCCCUAACUCGAAGUACAGCGAGCAGCAGGGGCAGGCUUCAAAGAAAAAGGUUGACAGUAAAAAGGGAGGGACUUCCAAAUACAAGCACCAGGAGGGUGAGAAGCAGGAGGAGGGUCA